AGUGAACGCUGGCGGUAGGCCUAACACAUGCAAGUCGAACGGCAGCACAGUAAGAGCUUGCUCUUACGGGUGGCGAGUGGCGGACGGGUGAGGAAUACAUCGGAAUCUACUUUUUCGUGGGGGAUAACGUAGGGAAACUUACGCUAAUACCGCAUACGACCUACGGGUGAAAGCAAGGGAUCUUCGGACCUUGCCCGAUUGAAUGAGCCGGUGCCGGAUUAGCUAGUUGGCGGGGUAAAGGCCCACCAAGGCGACGAUCCGUAGCUGGGCUGAGAGGAUGAUCAGCCACACUGGAACUGAGACACGGUCCAGACUCCUACGGGAGGCAGCAGUGGGGAAUAUUGGACAAUGGGCGCAAGCCUGACCCAGCCAUACCGCGUGGGUGAAGAAGGCCUUCGGGUUGUAAAGCCCUGUUGUUGGGAAAGAAAAGCAGCAGGUUAAUACCCCGCUGUUCUGACGGUACCCAAAGAAUAAGCACCGGCUAACUUCGUG
This 492-nucleotide ribosomal RNA is filed under the name uncultured bacterium. Its description in RNAcentral is "partial 16S ribosomal RNA". It matches the Rfam family "Bacterial small subunit ribosomal RNA", at positions 29 to 507 of the family's 1533-position model. The record is from RNAcentral.